UGGGGAAUAUUGCACAAUGGGCGCAAGCCUGAUGCAGCCAUGCCGCGUGUGUGAAGAAGGCCUUCGGGUUGUAAAGCACUUUCAGCGAGGAGGAAGGUGGUGAGCUUAAUACGCUCAUCAAUUGACGUUACUCGCAGAAGAAGCACCGGCUAACUCCGUGCCAGCAGCCGCGGUAAUACGGAGGGUGCAAGCGUUAAUCGGAAUUACUGGGCGUAAAGCGCACGCAGGCGGUUUGUUAAGUCAGAUGUGAAAUCCCCGGGCUCAACCUGGGAACUGCAUUUGAAACUGGCAAGCUAGAGUCUCGUAGAGGGGGGCUAGAAUUCCAGGUGUAGCGGUGAAAUGCGUAGAGAUCUGGAGGAAUACCGGUGGCGAAGGCGGCCCCCCUGGACGAAGACUGACGCUCAGGUGCGAAAAGGCGU
Molecule: ribosomal RNA, 419 nt
Filed under: uncultured bacterium
Lineage: Bacteria
Description: partial 16S ribosomal RNA
Rfam family: Bacterial small subunit ribosomal RNA
Source: RNAcentral